This 372-nucleotide ribosomal RNA is filed under the name uncultured bacterium. RNAcentral describes it as "bacterial SSU rRNA". It matches the Rfam family "Bacterial small subunit ribosomal RNA", at positions 525 to 896 of the family's 1533-position model. The record is from RNAcentral.
ACAGAGGGUGCAAGCGUUAAUCGGAAUUACUGGGCGUAAAGGGUGCGUAGGUGGUUUGUUAAGUCAGGCGUGAAAUCCUCGGGCUCAACCUGGGAACUGCGCUUGAUACUGGCAGACUCGAGUGUGGUAGAGGAUAGUGGAAUUCCCGGUGUAGCGGUGAAAUGCGUAGAUAUCGGGAGGAACAUCAGUGGCGAAGGCGGCUAUCUGGACUAACACUGACACUGAGGCACGAAAGCGUGGGUAGCAAACAGGAUUAGAUACCCUGGUAGUCCACGCCCUAAACGAUGGGUACUAGACGUCGGGAAGCUUGUCUUCUUGGUGUCGCAGCUAACGCAAUAAGUACCCCGCCUGGGGAGUACGGUCGCAAGAUUA